RNAcentral lists this ribosomal RNA (553 nucleotides) under Lestonia haustorifera. Its description in RNAcentral is "partial 16S ribosomal RNA". It matches the Rfam family "Bacterial large subunit ribosomal RNA", at positions 1801 to 2623 of the family's 2925-position model. The record is from RNAcentral. Lineage: Eukaryota; Metazoa; Arthropoda; Insecta; Hemiptera; Lestoniidae.
UGUUUAUCAAAAACAUGGCUUAUUGUUGUAAAUUAUAUUAAGUCUGACCUGCUCAAUGAAGUAUUUAAAUAGCCGCAGUAUUUUGACUGUGCAAAGGUAGCAUAAUCAUUUGUCUUUUAAUUGGGGACUGGUAUGAAGGGUUUGAUGAAAUAUCAACUUUCUUUAUAUAAAUAUUUAAAACUUAAUUUUUUAGUUAAAAAGCUAAGAUUUUAUUAUAGGACGAKAAGACCCUAUAGAAUUUUAUAGUAUGGUUAAUAUAAAUUAUUUGGAUAUUUAAGUGUAUAUUAGUUAUAAUAUUUUGUUGGGGUGACAGGGAAAUAAUAUUAACUUUCUUUAUUUAUUUUUUAUUAAUGUAUAUAUAGUUGAUCCUUGGUGGAGGAAAAUAAGAUUAAAUUACCUUAGGGAUAACAGCGUAAUUCUUUUGGAGAGCUCUUAUCGAUAAAGGAGUUUGCGACCUCGAUGUUGGAUUAAAAUUAGUUUCAGGUGAAGAUAUUUGAUUACUAGGUCUGUUCGACCUUUAAAAUUUUACAUGAUCUGAGUUCAAACCGGAGAG